UACGGAGGGUGCGAGCGUUGUCCGGAAUCACUGGGCGUAAAGGGCGCGUAGGCGGCCUGAUAAGUAGGGGGUGAAAUCCUGCGGCUUAACCGCAGGGCUGCCUUCUAAACUGUCGGGCUAGAGCACGGUAGAGGCAGAUGGAAUUCCCGGUGUAGCGGUGGAAUGCGUAGAGAUCGGGAAGAACACCCGUGGCGAAGGCGGCUCUCUGGGACGGUACUGACGCUGAGACGCGAAAGCGUGGGGAGCGAACAGG
Molecule: ribosomal RNA, 253 nt
Filed under: uncultured bacterium
Lineage: Bacteria
Description: partial 16S ribosomal RNA
Rfam family: Bacterial small subunit ribosomal RNA
Source: RNAcentral